This 506-nucleotide ribosomal RNA is filed under the name uncultured bacterium. RNAcentral describes it as "bacterial SSU rRNA". It matches the Rfam family "Bacterial small subunit ribosomal RNA", at positions 28 to 523 of the family's 1533-position model. The record is from RNAcentral.
GACGAACGCUGGCGGCGCGCUUAACACAUGCAAGUCGAGCGAGAACCGGGCCUUCGGGCCUGGGGAAAGCGGCGAACGGGUGAGUAACACGUGGGCAACCCACCCUUGGUAUCCGGAUAGCCCGAGGAAACUCGGAUUAAUACGGAAUGGCCCAACAGCUCUUCGGGGCGGUUGGAAAAGGUAGCUUCGGCCUCCGACCAAGGACGGGCCCGCGGUGGAUUAGCUUGUUGGUGGGGUAAUGGCCUACCAAGGCGACGAUCCAUAGCUGGUCUGAGAGGACGAUCAGCCACACUGGGACUGAGACACGGCCCAGACUCCUACGGGAGGCAGCAGUGGGGAAUCUUGCGCAAUGGGCGAAAGCCUGACGCAGCGACGCCGCGUGGGGAAGAAGGCUUUCGGGUUGUAAACCCUUUCAGGAGGGACGAAGCCACUCAGGUUAAUAGCCGAGAGGGUGACGGUACCUCCAGAAGAAGCCCCGGCUAACUACGUGCCAGCAGCCGCGGUAA